AACGAACGCUGGCGGCAGGCUUAACACAUGCAAGUCGAGCGCAUCCUUCGGGGUGAGCGGCGGACGGGUGAGUAACGCGUGGGAACGUGCCCUCUUCUACGGAAUAGCCUCGGGAAACUGAGAGUAAUGCCGUAUACGCCCGCAAGGGGAAAGAUUUAUCGGAGGAGGAUCGGCCCGCGUUGGAUUAGGUAGUUGGUGGGGUAACGGCCUACCAAGCCGACGAUCCAUAGCUGGUUUGAGAGGAUGAUCAGCCACACUGGGACUGAGACACGGCCCAGACUCCUGCGGGAGGCAGCAGUGGGGAAUCUUGGACAAUGGGGGCAACCCUGAUCCAGCCAUGCCGCGUGAUCGAUGAAGGCCUUAGGGUUGUAAAGAUCUUUCAGCUGGGAAGAUAAUGACGGUACCAUCAGAAGAAGCCCCGGCUAACUCCGUG
This 433-nucleotide ribosomal RNA is filed under the name uncultured bacterium. RNAcentral's name for it is "partial 16S ribosomal RNA". It matches the Rfam family "Bacterial small subunit ribosomal RNA", at positions 29 to 507 of the family's 1533-position model. The record is from RNAcentral.